This is a non-coding RNA of Schistosoma margrebowiei, 45 nucleotides long. The record is from Rfam. NCBI's taxonomy places the organism in Eukaryota, Metazoa, Platyhelminthes, Trematoda, Strigeidida, Schistosomatidae.
AUCCGGCCGACGAGUCCAAGAUAGGACGAAACGUGUGUCCUGAAU